GAUGAACGCUGGCGGCGUGCCUAAUACAUGCAAGUCGAGCGAACAGACGAGGAUCUUGCUCCUCUGACGUUAGCGGCGGACGGGUGAGUAACACGUGGAUAACCUACCUAUAAGACUGGGAUAACUUCGGGAAACCGGAUCUAAUACCGGAUAAUAUCUUGAACCGCAUGGUUCAAUAGUGAAAGACGGUUUUGCUGUCACUUAUCGAUGGAUCCGCGCCGCAUUAGCUAGUUGGUAAGGUAACGGCUUACCAAGGCAACGAUGCGUAGCCGACCUGAGGGGGUGAUCGGCCACACUGGAACUGAGACACGGUCCAGACUCCUACGAGAGGCAGCAGUAGGGAAUCUUCCGCAAUGGGCGAAAGCCUGACGGAGCAACGCCGCGUGAGUGAUGAAGGUCUUCGGAUCGUAAAACUCUGUUAUUAGGGAAGAACAAAUGUGUAAGUAACUAUGCACGUCUUGACGGUACCUAAUCAGAAAGCCACGGCUAACUACGUG
This 497-nucleotide ribosomal RNA is filed under the name uncultured bacterium. Its description in RNAcentral is "partial 16S ribosomal RNA". It matches the Rfam family "Bacterial small subunit ribosomal RNA", at positions 28 to 507 of the family's 1533-position model. The record is from RNAcentral.